This 468-nucleotide ribosomal RNA is filed under the name uncultured bacterium. RNAcentral describes it as "partial 16S ribosomal RNA". It matches the Rfam family "Bacterial small subunit ribosomal RNA", at positions 28 to 507 of the family's 1533-position model. The record is from RNAcentral.
GACGAACGCUGGCGGCGUGCUUAACACAUGCAAGUCGAACGGAAAGGCCCUGCUUUUGUGGGGUGCUCGAGUGGCGAACGGGUGAGUAACACGUGAGUAACCUGCCCUUGACUUUGGGAUAACUUCAGGAAACUGGGGCUAAUACCGGAUAGGAGCUCCUGCUGCAUGGUGGGGGUUGGAAAGUUUCGGCGGUUGGGGAUGGACUCGCGGCUUAUCAGCUUGUUGGUGGGGUAGUGGCUUACCAAGGCUUUGACGGGUAGCCGGCCUGAGAGGGUGACCGGCCACAAUGGGACUGAGGUACGGCCCAGACUCCUACGGGAGGCAGCAGGGGGGAAUCUUGCACAAUGGGCGGAAGCCUGAUGCAGCAACGCCGCGUGCGGGAUGACGGCCUUCGGGUUGUAAACCGCUUUCGCCUGUGACGAAGCGUGAGUGACGGUAAUGGGUAAAGAAGCACCGGCUAACUACGUG